GAUUUAUCUGGGGUAACCAAGAAGCUUUGGGCCCACCUGCUUCAUUGUGGCAAUGGAGAUACCUUGAUGUUUCAUUAUCCAACUAAGGAACAUCAUCAAUGCAAAAGGAACUCUAAUCUAAUUGGCUCUGCUGGUUACAACCGUCCAAGAGAAGUUCCUACUCUUUUCAAGAACGAAAGUACCUGGAAGUUUAUUCUGUAGCUCAGAGCCUUGCUCUGUCAUUCAUGUUGAUCUGGACGUCGAGGAGCUGCUUUCAUCCUUAGAUGCUUGUGUUUCUAGUUGCAAUGGCUGGAAUCCCAUGUUUCUUGCCUCAGCCAGAGGAACCAGCUCCCUCCCACAUCUUGGGAGACAAAAUCAGCAUCCAAGUGCAGUUGAGUUAAAUUAAAGCCCUCUGUGAAGUU
Non-coding RNA from Pantherophis guttatus, 401 nucleotides. The record is from RefSeq and is a predicted model, not a curated record. NCBI's taxonomy places the organism in Eukaryota, Metazoa, Chordata, Lepidosauria, Squamata, Colubridae.